RNAcentral lists this ribosomal RNA (253 nucleotides) under uncultured bacterium. RNAcentral's name for it is "partial 16S ribosomal RNA". It matches the Rfam family "Bacterial small subunit ribosomal RNA", at positions 524 to 776 of the family's 1533-position model. The record is from RNAcentral.
UACGUAGGGGGCUAGCGUUGUCCGGAAUCAUUGGGCGUAAAGCGCGUGUAGGCGGUCCGGUAAGUCCGCUGUGAAAGUCGGGGGCUCAACCCUCGAAUGCCGGUGGAUACUGUCGGGCUAGGGUGCGGAAGAGGGAAGCGGAAUUUCCGGUGUAGCGGUGAAAUGCGUAGAUAUCGGAAGGAACAUCAGUGGCGAAAGCGGCUUCCUGGUCCAGCACCGACGUUCAGGCACGAAAGCGUGGGGAGCAAACAGG